CAGAGGACUGCAGCACAACAUGUCUCCUUGCUGCUGCUGCUCCUUGUGUCAAUGGCCGCAGUUAGAUCGACCGCCGGAGUGCAGCAAGGACAAUGGUACAGCGUCAUGGAUUUCCAUGCAGCUGGGGACGGCGCGACGAGUGAUGUCGAGGCGUUCGAGGAGACAUGGAAAGUAGCCUGCAGCAGCCACAGCAGCGAGGUGAUCAUGAAAGGAAAGACAUUCUUGCUGAACCAGACGAGGUUCAACGGACCCUGCAAGUCGCCCAUCACCGUACAGCUGGAGGGCGACGUGGUGGCGCCAAACUCCUUCUAUUUAAAGCCAUCAGACGUCCUGACCUUCUAUGGCGUCGACAACCUGACGGUGAAUGGGAGCGGCCAGAUAGACGGGCGAGGCGCCCAGUGGUGGGAUUGCUACAACCAAAAGAAAUGCAAUGACCGGCCAAGGUCGCUGUCGUUCGCGCACUGCAACAAUCUACGGGUGACCAACAUACGCCUCAAGGACGGCGUCGAAAAGAACAUGAUCAUGUACGAGUGCACGCAGGUGCAGGUGCACAACGUCUCCAUCACGGCGCCGGGCGACAGCCCCAACACGGACGGGGUCAAUAUGGGCUCCUCCAACCAUGUAAACAUCUCGUCUUGCUCUAUGCACACCGGUGAUGAUUGUGUGUCGAUUCUAUCGGGAACCACCAAUGUUAACGUCACCAACACCACCUGCGGGCCUGGUCAUGGCAUCAGUGUGGGAAGUCUUGGAGGUGUUGCUGACGGCCCAACGCUGGUGGAAAAAAUUACAGUGUCCAACUGCAGCUUCUUCAAUACCACGACCGGUGUGAGGAUCAAAUCGUGGCAGGAUGGCAAGGCACUAGCAACCGGAUUCCUUUUCAUCAAACUCAGAAUGACUGCCGUCCGGUUGCCUAUCGAUAUCGACCAGUUCUAUUGCCCCCAAGGAAACUGUCCACCACAGGAUGGUGGUGUGGCCAUAACAGACGCUCGAUUCGUCGACAUCCAGGGGACGUCCUCAGAACGAGAGGCCAUCAAGAUCAUGUGCAGCAAGAGUGUGCCAUGCCACGACAUCUACCUCAAAAACGUCAACCUCUCUUGGGCCAACCACAUUGCCCCGGCACAAGCUAUUGUUCAGAAUGCCCAUGGAAGCGUCACGGGAACGGUGAAGCCACAAACACAGUUUGCUGGCAAUUGA
RNAcentral lists this ribosomal RNA (1194 nucleotides) under Triticum aestivum (bread wheat). Its description in RNAcentral is "partial small subunit ribosomal RNA". The record is from RNAcentral. Lineage: Eukaryota; Viridiplantae; Streptophyta; Magnoliopsida; Poales; Poaceae.